Arachis duranensis is the source of this 802-nucleotide long non-coding RNA. RefSeq lists it as uncharacterized. The record is from RefSeq and is a predicted model, not a curated record. NCBI's taxonomy places the organism in Eukaryota, Viridiplantae, Streptophyta, Magnoliopsida, Fabales, Fabaceae. The transcript is spliced from 3 exons.
UUUGUGCACUUAAUCAAAUGUGGGAACCACAUGAAGAAUAUGCUUCAUUGUGGGAAUUAAACCGCCAAGGAUAAAGUUUCUUGGCACCAAAGACAGAAUAUACCAUUAAAGUAUUCCAGUCUCAUAGGCACAAACAAAUCUUAUUCAACACAAAUAAAACAGAUACAAAAAUUUUUCUUGUCAUCAGCAGAGAGAGAACUGCAUUAACAUUUCAACCAACAUUACUGAUGAUGAAUCAUGAUUUAACAAGGAGCUUAUAGAUGAAAACUCUUUUGCUGCUUCAGCCCAACAUGCAUGGAACAGUUUGUCAUGUUCAUCUGAUGGCAAAAGAUGUCCAUCCAACAUGAAAAUCAAGGCUAUUUUGAUUGUCUUGUUGAAUAGCCUUCCAGUGAUCAACAAAAUCGGAAGCUUUUUCGCCUUUUCUUCUGCAUCAUCAUCACAUGGAGAAUAAUCUGCAGAAACUUUUUCAUGGUCUUCCAAAUUGUGAUCAAACUGGCAAUUAUCAUUGAUCACCCUUAUACCAUCAAUGAUUUGGUGGUUGCAAACCAAAUGAACGUCUCUAUCUUUGACAAGGAAUGAUCCUCUACUCUCCUCAACCUCAGUGUCAGCCAUUGCAGCCGAGAGAAAAGCUUGUCCUGGGAUAGAACUCCAUAUAGGCCUUGUUGGUUCGGAAAGGUGUGAAAUUGAAAGGUGCACACCAUUGUUUGGGAAGCAAGAAAGCUUGAAAUCAUUGCCAAUUGGGAAGAACAAGUUGUGGUCUGAAGUAGGCACUGUCUUGGCGUUGAUGAAGAGAGAGCCUUUG